This 318-nucleotide long non-coding RNA is filed under the name Elaeis guineensis (African oil palm). RNAcentral's name for it is "long non-coding RNA (EGUI_LNC062716)". The record is from RNAcentral. Lineage: Eukaryota; Viridiplantae; Streptophyta; Magnoliopsida; Arecales; Arecaceae.
UUUGUACCGAUGGUGAUGGAACCAGCACCAGCACCAGCACCGACACUGAUAGUAGCACCACCAAUCAAUGCCGCAUCGAUGGCGAAUCCAUAACCAGCCAAUCCUACACAACAACCUGCACUGGUGCCUCAUGAGUGACCGCCAAUCCCCCCAUAGAGCCCUGAGCAAGGGAGACAUACUCAUUAUAAUCAGCCCCAUAGUCUAGAAUGAAGAAGACGAUGGUCCCUGAGUCCUCAUUUCAAGCAGGACUCAACUCCCAGCCAGUGAUCUCCCAUAUAGUGCUCGAAGAACUGUACUGUCCGAGAUGCAGAUGUCGAU